Vigna radiata var. radiata (mung bean) is the source of this 622-nucleotide long non-coding RNA. RefSeq lists it as uncharacterized. Lineage: Eukaryota; Viridiplantae; Streptophyta; Magnoliopsida; Fabales; Fabaceae. The transcript is spliced from 5 exons. The record is from RefSeq and is a predicted model, not a curated record.
CUGUGUCAACUAAAGCAUCACACCUUUGCAAAGAAUUUUCUAGUUGUUUUUGAAUCUUUUUAUUUCCUCGCUCGCACUUAUACUUCUAUUGGUUUAAUGCAGUUCUGAAACCAAAGGUAACAGAUGUUCAGCAGCAUGAUUUUAUAAGGGGCAUUUUCUCUGGUUUUGGGAAAGAUUCUGCUAUAGUCGGUGGAUGGCUUUUUGUGGCUAAUUUAAAGAUACACUGAUGUUUCUUUGGUUUGGUCCUUAACAUUUACAAGCUUUAAAUACUGGAACCGCACAGGUGCCAUAUCUCUUUGGUAUCCCUGCUGAUUGUAUUUGUCUCUCAAUCCGUAUACUUCCAAUCUUAUCAAAAGGUUUUUUAAAUAUUGAUAUCCUUUUCUAAGCAAUUUUAUGGAUAUGUGACAAAAUUAGAUUAUGUGACACUACGACAUGGUUUCAUCAUGACCCAUUGCAAGUACAUGAUUCGCCCCCUUGAAGAUGAUUUCAAGCAAGUUGUUGGUAUAAGGAUUAAAUGGAGAGGAAGUUGCAGAUGUUGAAGGAACAAAGGCUGUUCUGGUGAUUGCAGAAGAUGGUGUUAACGCUGCCGAAAGAGCUUGAAAUGAUGCUAAAGCAUAGAACU